This is a small nucleolar RNA of Acanthochromis polyacanthus (spiny chromis), 135 nucleotides long. NCBI's taxonomy places the organism in Eukaryota, Metazoa, Chordata, Actinopteri, Pomacentridae. The record is from Ensembl.
UGGAGGACUGAGAAGGUUGAACAGCUUGUGUGGUGCUGUUAUAACUGGUUAUAACCUCCAAGAGUAACACACAAACCACACUGUUAUAUCUCCCUGUUCUAAGCAGAGUAGAUAGAUGUGUUUGUGGCACAUUUU